UCGUCACACUAUCAUUAACUGAAUCCAUAGGUUAAUGAGGCGAACCGGGGGAACUGAAACAUCUAAGUACCCCGAGGAAAAGAAAUCAACCGAGAUUCCCCCAGUAGCGGCGAGCGAACGGGGAGGAGCCCAGAGCCUGAAUCAGCAUGUGUGUUAGUGGAAGCGUCUGGAAAGGCGCGCGAUACAGGGUGACAGCCCCGUACACAAAAGCGCAUGUGCUGUGAGCUCGAUGAGUAGGGCGGGACACGUGGUAUCCUGUCUGAAUAUGGGGGGACCAUCCUCCAAGGCUAAAUACUCCUGACUGACCGAUAGUGAACCAGUACCGUGAGGGAAAGGCGAAAAGAACCCCGGCGAGGGGAGUGAAAAAGAACCUGAAACCGUGUACGUACAAGCAGUGGGAGCACCCUUUGGGUGUGACUGCGUACCUUUUGUAUAAUGGGUCAGCGACUUAUAUUCUGUAGCAAGGUUAACCGAAUAGGGGAGCCGGAGGGAAACCGAGUCUUAACCGGGCGUUAAGUUGCAGGGUAUAGACCCGAAACCCGGUGAUCUAGCCAUGGGCAGGUUGAAGGUUGGGUAACACUAACUGGAGGACCGAACCGACUAAUGUUGAAAAAUUAGCGGAUGACCUGUGGCUGGGGGUGAAAGGCCAAUCAAACCGGGAGAUAGCUGGUUCUCCCCGAAAGCUAUUUAGGUAGCGCCUCGUGAAUUCAUCUCCGGGGGUAGAGCACUGUUUCGGCUAGGGGGCCAUCCCGGCUUACCAACCCGAUGCAAACUGCGAAUACCGGAGAAUGUUAUCACGGGAGACACACGGCGGGUGCUAACGUCCGUCGUGAAGAGGGAAACAACCCAGACCGCCAGCUAAGGUCCCAAAGUCAUGGUUAAGUGGGAAACGAUGUGGGAAGGCCCAGACAGCCAGGAUGUUGGCUUAGAAGCAGCCAUCAUUUAAAGAAAGCGUAAUAGCUCACUGGUCGAGUCGGCCUGCGCGGAAGAUGUAACGGGGCUAAACCAUGCACCGAAGCUGCGGCAGCGACACUGUGUGUUGUUGGGUAGGGGAGCGUUCUGUAAGCCUGUGAAGGUGUGUCGUGAGGCAUGCUGGAGGUAUCAGAAGUGCGAAUGCUGACAUAAGUAACGAUAAAGCGGGUGAAAAGCCCGCUCGCCGGAAGACCAAGGGUUCCUGUCCAACGUUAAUCGGGGCAGGGUGAGUCGACCCCUAAGGCGAGGCCGAAAGGCGUAGUCGAUGGGAAACGGGUUAAUAUUCCCGUACUUGGUGUUACUGCGAAGGGGGGACGGAGAAGGCUAUGUUGGCCGGGCGACGGUUGUCCCGGUUUAAGCGUGUAGGUGUGUGUUCCAGGUAAAUCCGGUUCACUUUAACACUGAGGCGUGACGACGAGGCACUACGGUGCUGAAGCAACAAAUGCCCUGCUUCCAGGAAAAGCCUCUAAGCAUCAGGUAACAUCAAAUCGUACCCCAAACCGACACAGGUGGUCAGGUAGAGAAUACCAAGGCGCUUGAGAGAACUCGGGUGAAGGAACUAGGCAAAAUGGUGCCGUAACUUCGGGAGAAGGCACGCUGACACGUAGGUGAAGUGAUUUACUCAUGGAGCUGAAGUCAGUCGAAGAUACCAGCUGGCUGCAACUGUUUAUUAAAAACACAGCACUGUGCAAACACGAAAGUGGACGUAUACGGUGUGACGCCUGCCCGGUGCCGGAAGGUUAAUUGAUGGGGUCAGCGCAAGCGAAGCUCCUGAUCGAAGCCCCGGUAAACGGCGGCCGUAACUAUAACGGUCCUAAGGUAGCGAAAUUCCUUGUCGGGUAAGUUCCGACCUGCACGAAUGGCGUAAUGAUGGCCAGGCUGUCUCCACCCGAGACUCAGUGAAAUUGAACUCGCUGUGAAGAUGCAGUGUACCCGCGGCAAGACGGAAAGACCCCGUGAACCUUUACUAUAGCUUGACACUGAACAUUGAGCCUUGAUGUGUAGGAUAGGUGGGAGGCUUUGAAGUGUGGACGCCAGUCUGCAUGGAGCCGACCUUGAAAUACCACCCUUUAAUGUUUGAUGUUCUAACGUGGACCCGUUACCCGGGUUGCGGACAGUGUCUGGUGGGUAGUUUGACUGGGGCGGUCUCCUCCUAAAGAGUAACGGAGGAGCACGAAGGUUGGCUAAUCCUGGUCGGACAUCAGGAGGUUAGUGCAAUGGCAUAAGCCAGCUUGACUGCGAGCGUGACGGCGCGAGCAGGUGCGAAAGCAGGUCAUAGUGAUCCGGUGGUUCUGAAUGGAAGGGCCAUCGCUCAACGGAUAAAAGGUACUCCGGGGAUAACAGGCUGAUACCGCCCAAGAGUUCAUAUCGACGGCGGUGUUUGGCACCUCGAUGUCGGCUCAUCACAUCCUGGGGCUGAAGUAGGUCCCAAGGGUAUGGCUGUUCGCCAUUUAAAGUGGUACGCGAGCUGGGUUUAGAACGUCGUGAGACAGUUCGGUCCCUAUCUGCCGUGGGCGCUGGAGAACUGAGGGGGGCUGCUCCUAGUACGAGAGGACCGGAGUGGACGCAUCACUGGUGUUCGGGUUGUCAUGCCAAUGGCACUGCCCGGUAGCUAAAUGCGGAAGAGAUAAGUGCUGAAAGCAUCUAAGCACGAAACUUGCCCCGAGAUGAGUUCUCCCUGAGACUUAAAGUCUCCUGAAGGAACGUUGAAGACGACGACGUUGAUAGGC
RNAcentral lists this ribosomal RNA (2702 nucleotides) under Salmonella enterica subsp. enterica serovar Enteritidis. RNAcentral's name for it is "partial 23S ribosomal RNA". It matches the Rfam family "Bacterial large subunit ribosomal RNA". Lineage: Bacteria; Pseudomonadati; Pseudomonadota; Gammaproteobacteria; Enterobacterales; Enterobacteriaceae. The record is from RNAcentral.